RNAcentral lists this ribosomal RNA (468 nucleotides) under uncultured bacterium. Its description in RNAcentral is "partial 16S ribosomal RNA". It matches the Rfam family "Bacterial small subunit ribosomal RNA", at positions 28 to 507 of the family's 1533-position model. The record is from RNAcentral.
GACGAACGCUGGCGGCGUGCCUAACACAUGCAAGUCGAACGGACAGGCCCUGCUCUUGUUGGGUGCUCGAGUGGCGAACGGGUGAGUAACACGUGAGUAACCUGUCCCUGACUUUGGGAUAACUUCAGGAAACUGGGGCUAAUACCGCAUAGAAGCUCCUGCUGCGUGUUGGUGGUUGGAGAGUUUCGGCGGUUGGGGCUGGAUGGGAGGCUUAUCCGCUUGUUUGUGGGGUUGUGGCUGUCCAAGGGUUCGACGGGUAGCCGGCCUGGGAGGUUGAACGGCGACAAUGGUACUACGAGACGGAGCAGACGCGUACGGGAGGCAGCAGGGGGGAGCAUGGCAGAGUGGGCGGAAGCCUGAUACAGAAACGCCGCGUGCGUGAUGACGUCUUUCUGGGGGUGAACCGCUGUCGCAGGAGACAAAGCGUGAGUGACGGUAAUGGGUAAAGAAGCACCGGCUAACUACGUG